AUUUUGUUAUAUAUUUUCAUAUAGAAGUAUAAAAGUAUGGCGCGAGUUUGCUGUAUUAAAACUACCGGCAAAACCAAAACAAGAGGGCAUCGAGCGCUUUUUCAAAUACCAAAAGUACUCUUGUCAUCGAUGAAAUGAAAGUUAGUGCAGGAUUUUCAUUCAAUAGAAGUUGACUUAAAUUUACUGGUUUAGUUGAUCUGGGGGAGUAUAUUCCUAAACAUCAAGCGAGUGAGCAAGGUGAUCAUGCACUAGUGGAGUUUUUUCAAGCAAAGGAUGUGCAAGUGGUACAGUUCUACAACAUUUAGCGUUAGAAUGCACUAUUUUACUUGAACAAUCAGGCUUCUACGUUGAUAACAUCACAACUGAUGGUGCUACUCAGAACCGAAAAAUGUGGAAAGAUUUUGGCUUGAAAGAUGAUGAUAACAGUUGUGCCCAUCCAUGUAGAAAUAUUGAUUUUAAUGAUGGCUCAUCCACUAGGAGUCAUGAACGUUUAUACUUUUGUUCAGACUAUUCACACUUACAUAAGCUUGUAAAAGGGCUUCAUGUAAAUCACUUAUCUUUUUCUUCUUUUCUUGAUUCAUCGUUCAUUUGUUGGUAUUUUUUGCUUAUUACUUGAGCUCGUUAAAUAGUAUAAAUAUUAAGUAUUGCUUUCGUGAGAGAUUCUUGGUGAUGAGAACAUCCUACAAAAGAGGUUUCUUUAUUGAGAAUGUUAUCAGCUAUUUUUAAAAAGCUAUAAGCUAUCUUUAAAAGCCCUUUCAAGGGCACUAAUGAGGUUGUAAAGUGUUGUUGAUGGAUACUUUAAAUAGUCAUGGGACAAUUGAUCAAUUAGUUUAUCUUUUUCCAAGUCACCGCGCUUUUUUGUCACAGACAUGACGCAGUCUGGACAAGAAGUAAUUUUUUUGCAAUUCAGAAAUUUUUUAUUCGAUAAAGAAGAAGUAUGGACUCCUGAUGGUGUAAUAAGAAAAAAACACUGGGAAGCAGUCAUAAAAUUAGACAGUGGGAAGACAAAUAUAGGGCUGGAGAUAGCUUAUAAAUUAACACCAGAUCACCUUAAUCCGAAGUACUGGCAAAAAAUGAAUGUUGGAAUGGCAUUUAAGGUAUUUUCUGAAAGAGUCGUUGCUUCAAUGAAAAUACACAAAAAUAGCUGUCCUGAGUUGCAUAACUGUGAGUCUACUAUCAAGUUUAUCGAACGUAUUCAAAAUGCAAGAACUGCAAUGCCCUCACGUUCAAUCAAGAACUCUUUACAAUAUGGCAAUGAGCAUUACUAUGAAGGUCAUCGUUGAUUUUCGAUUGUACUUGCAAAACUGGAACAAUGUAGCUAAAGAAAAAGAGUACCGUUUUAUAUCAAACAGUACAUACACUGGAUUUUUAGUUACGCUUCAAACAACUAUUGAUGUCAUGGAUUUUUUAAGUGAGAAAUGUGGAUAUUCAUAUCUUAUGACUGCUCGCCUAAACCAAGAUGCUUUGGAGGCUUUCUUUGGCAUGAUUCGAUCAGUUUAUGGAUCAAGUGAUCGCCCAGGCUCCUUGCUUUUCAUACAAGUGUACCGACUGUUAAGCUUCUACUCACUUAUAAAACCUCCAAAAAAGAUCGAACGUAGAAAGAAUCGGUAUAUUUGAAAUUUUAUUUAAUUCAGAUCAUCUUGAUGAAGAUGAAAAUCAAUUGCAAUGGUCGAACAUACUGAAUAAAAUAAUAGAAAAAGAGAACAACCAACCCAAGCAGUGUGAUGGCAAAGACGACCUCAUGGUCAUCCUUACAACAUGGAUACUUCAGAAGAAUAUGUGGUUGAAUACAUGGCUGAUUUUAUAGCAUAUAAAUGCAAAAAAAUUAUUUCUUGUCCAGACUGCGUCAUGUCUGUGACAAAAAAGCGCGGUGACUUGGAAAAAGAUAAACUAAUUGAUCAAUUGUCCCAUGACUAUUUAAAGUAUCCAUCAACAACACUUUACAACCUCAUUAGUGCCCUUGAAAGGGCUUUUAAAGAUAGCUUAUAGCUUUUUAAAAAUAGCUGAUAACAUUCUCAAUAAAGAAACCUCUUUUGUAGGAUGUUCUCAUCACCAAGAAUCUCUCACGAAAGCAAUACUUAAUAUUUAUACUAUUUAACGAGCUCAAGUAAUAAGCAAAAAAUACCAACAAAUGAACGAUGAAUCAAGAAAAGAAGAAAAAGAUAAGUGAUUUACAUGAAGCCCUUUUACAAGCUUAUGUAAGUGUGAAUAGUCUGAACAAAAGUAUAAACGUUCAUGACUCCUAGUGGAUGAGCCAUCAUUAAAAUCAAUAUUUCUACAUGGAUGGGCACAACUGUUAUCAUCAUCUUUCAAGCCAAAAUCUUUCCACAUUUUUCGGUUCUGAGUAGCACCAUCAGUUGUGAUGUUAUCAACGUAGAAGCCUGAUUGUUCAAGUAAAAUAGUGCAUUCUAACGCUAAAUGUUGUAGAACUGUACCACUUGCACAUCCUUUGCUUGAAAAAACUCCACUAGUGCAUGAUCACCUUGCUCACUCGCUUGAUGUUUAGGAAUAUACUCCCCCAGAUCAACUAAACCAGUAAAUUUAAGUCAAUUUCUAUUGAAUGAAAAUCCUGCACUAACUUUCAUUUCAUCGAUGACAAGAGUACCGGAGUAUGCACACGAAAAUUCAGGGCUAUAUUAAAAAAUAGUAUGAGUUGUUUUUUUUUCAAUUUCAAAAUAUAUUAAAUUACCACGUCGAUAAAAUGGCUGCAUUUCCAAUGCUUCUGCUUUCAUGAGCUUGAAUAUUUCAUCUUGAAACCCAUAUGAUGGUUUCAUUUUAUUCAUAAAUUUAUUAAGAGUGGCAAUUUUUGGGACUUGCGAAAUAUGAUGCUCUCUAAUAUGUUCGUAUGUUCGUCGACUUUUAAUUCGUAGUAAAAUCGCGAGAAGAUUUGGCAGCAUCGAAGCACGCUUUAACUGCUUCUCGCUGGCUACUAUGGAGCUUUGAUAAAGCAUUUUAAAUAACUUCUUCUGAGGUUGAAGCCCAUUUCAGUUGGAGUUGUUUCAAAUUGUCUUGUACCUCUUUUAUCUGUAAACAAUUUAAUUUUGAGUAAUAAACUUAUAUGAAAUUUAACAAAUCAAUUUACCUUUUAUUUUUUAAAUAAAUUC
This is a long non-coding RNA of Aphidius gifuensis, 3104 nucleotides long. RefSeq lists it as uncharacterized. Lineage: Eukaryota; Metazoa; Arthropoda; Insecta; Hymenoptera; Braconidae. The transcript has 6 exons. The record is from RefSeq and is a predicted model, not a curated record.